UUCAAUGGAGAGUUUGAUCCUGGCUCAGGACGAACGCUGGCGGCGUGCUUAACACAUGCAAGUCGAGCGGUAAGGCUCCUUCGGGAGUACACGAGCGGCGAACGGGUGAGUAACACGUGAGCAAUCUGCCCUUCUCUUUGGAAUAACCAUUGGAAACGAUGGCUAAUGCCGAAUACGACUUCGGACUGCAUGGUCUGAAGUGGAAAGCUCCGGCGGAGAAGGAUGAGCUCGCGGCCUAUCAGCUUGUUGGUGAGGUAAU
Molecule: ribosomal RNA, 259 nt
Filed under: Aeromicrobium sp.
Lineage: Bacteria; Bacillati; Actinomycetota; Actinomycetes; Propionibacteriales; Nocardioidaceae
Description: partial 16S ribosomal RNA
Rfam family: Bacterial small subunit ribosomal RNA
Source: RNAcentral